GGCUGGAUAGUUCAGUGGUAGAAUACGUGCUUUGGGUAAUAUCAACGCUUGUACGUGGUCUUGGGUUCGAUCCCCAAUUCAGCCC
RNAcentral lists this transfer RNA (85 nucleotides) under Cadophora sp. DSE1049. It matches the Rfam family "tRNA". Rfam says of the family: Transfer RNA (tRNA) molecules are approximately 80 nucleotides in length. Their secondary structure includes four short double-helical elements and three loops (D, anti-codon, and T loops). The record is from Rfam by way of RNAcentral. Lineage: Eukaryota; Fungi; Ascomycota; Leotiomycetes; Helotiales; Ploettnerulaceae.